GCAGCGGUAGUUCAGCUCCUUAGACUACCGUCCUGUCCCGCCGGGCGCCGCGGGUUCGAGCCCCGUCCGCUGCGCCA
Molecule: transfer RNA, 77 nt
Filed under: Acinetobacter baumannii
Lineage: Bacteria; Pseudomonadati; Pseudomonadota; Gammaproteobacteria; Moraxellales; Moraxellaceae
Description: tRNA-Asp
Rfam family: tRNA
About the family: Transfer RNA (tRNA) molecules are approximately 80 nucleotides in length. Their secondary structure includes four short double-helical elements and three loops (D, anti-codon, and T loops). Further hydrogen bonds mediate the characteristic L-shaped molecular structure. tRNAs have two regions of fundamental functional importance: the anti-codon, which is responsible for specific mRNA codon recognition, and the 3' end, to which the tRNAs corresponding amino acid is attached (by aminoacyl-tRNA synthetases). tRNAs cope with the degeneracy of the genetic code in two manners: having more than one tRNA (with a specific anti-codon) for a particular amino acid; and 'wobble' base-pairing, i.e. permitting non-standard base-pairing at the 3rd anti-codon position.
Source: RNAcentral